Molecule: long non-coding RNA, 2105 nt
Filed under: Pongo abelii (Sumatran orangutan)
Lineage: Eukaryota; Metazoa; Chordata; Mammalia; Primates; Hominidae
Description: lincRNA
Source: RNAcentral
GGAGAACCGCAGAGUCUCCGCUUCAGGCGUUUGGACUCAGUGGAGGUUGUGAGUGCCCAGCAGUGUGGCCUGAAUCUCCGUGGAGUUUAGGGAGACGAAAGGACCCCAGAUCGACGUCCCCUCGUUCCCACUUUGGGGAUCGGCGCUCUGGCUGUUUCGUGAAGGAGAGAGAGGUUGAUUCCAUACCCUGGCUAUUGUGAAUAAUGCUGCAGUGAACAUGGGAGUACAUACAUCUGUUUGAGGAACUCAGAGUGGUUUUCCAGAUGGGAAUCACAUUGCUCUCUGUCCCUGAGAUCUUGCUGGAGACAGGGCUACUCAGUCCCUCUUUGCCAGAUUGAUAUUGGAAAAGCAGUUUCUAUUGAGCCCCCAAAUGAAGAGUGAGUGCAGAUGAAGAGGAGGCAGGACUCACAAGCCCUUGACCUUCAUUCCAGAUCCGUUAGCACCUACAGGAUCCUGCACCGGGAUUUCAUCUGUACUAUCAGCUUCUUCAAAGAGAGAGAGGUUGUUGAAUUGAUAUUGGAAAAGCAGUUUCCCAUUGAGUCUCAAAUGAAGAGAGAGUGCAGAUGAAGAGGAGCUCUUCAUGUGGAUGUCUGAGCUCAUAUCAGGUGUCUGAAAGAGGCAGAUUCUGAGGAUUUGGGUCAUGAUGGCUGCCAAAGCUUCUACUCCUGACUUAAAGGGCAACAAUCCUAGGAGACCACCAGCACUUAAUCCCUGGUAGGACAUGACACCUGCUUAUGGCUCAGAAGUGACAAAAGAGAAUUAUCAGGAUGGCAGUCCUUAUAACCAGAUGCUUAUCAACAUUCUUCACUACAUUCUGAAGAUGAAUUUCUACAAGGGAAAUUGUUUAUAUUUGUUGUUAGGGAAUAGAUAAGGAAAGAAGAAAAAGGCCCUGGUGAGAAACCCAUUGUACCUUCUGGAUAUGAUCACCACCCAAUUUUAUCAGUGUCAUUGAUCACUAACCCAUUGCCUCGUAUGGUGCCAGGCACAGAGUUACUCCAAGAAUGUACAAUAAUGGCUGGAUUCUCUUUCUCCCUGUGCAACUCUUCAUGCAUGUGACUGAACUUAUAUUAAGUGUCUGAAGGAGGUUCGUUCUGAGGACCUGGGACGUGAUGGGUGCUGAAGCUUCUACUCAAGAUUUGAAGGGCAGCUGUCCUCAGGAGACCCCUGGCACUUCCCUCCCUGGUGGGAUAUGAUGCCUGAUUCCAGUGAGUUCAUAGAGCUGAACAAAAGCAUGUUAUGGAAUAGCUCCUGUGAGGUUCACAACAUAGUCCAGAAGAUGAGAAACUACUUUUUUUAGUAACCUGGAUUCCCAUCUAAGAGAUGCCUUACUUUAUCAUAAAGCAAUGAAUUGUUCACUUGAGGAGGGAACUUCAUGUUUAACAUGUAUUUGCAACAAAUUUACAUACAUUUUCUGCCUGUAUGAAUAGUUGUCAGUGAUGCCCAUGAAUUUCUCAGAUGGAUGUUGAACUAUACAGUUAGAAGGUUAGAAGAUCUUCCUAGCAAUCUGAUUACGGUAUGCAUUCUUCCAUGGUUUCUAUGUUUUUGUCUAUUCUAUAAUGAAAUUUUCUAAGAAGCCAGAAAUUAAUUAAGUGCUACCUAAAAAUAUCAAAAUGUCAGGUACAAGAAUUUGGCAUUUUCAAAAUUAAUAAUUACAAUGUAAGUUUGCCCUAUUAUAAUGAUACCCAGCUAUGUCCACUAAGAUAACUAGAUUGUUCUGAAUACCAUUAUUAUUUCCCAAUAAUAUAAACAUCACAAUUUCAGUUCUGUAGUACCUGGCCUACCUACCCUUCCCACUGCCUUGCCCCAGGUAAACACAGCAUGCCUGUCACUGUACAUUAUUUUACAUGUCCGGAAAUAUAUUUAAAUGGAAUCAUAGAGGUGGUUUCUUUUUUUUUUUUUUAUCAACACCUGGCUUUUUUCAUUCACUCCACUUAUAUUUAUCCAUUUUAUUGCAUUUAUCUAUUGAUAUACUUCAUUCUUUUUGAUUGCUAAAUACUAUUGCAGUAUACAACCACACUAAACAUUUUAUUAUCCAUCCAUUUGUCGAUGGACAUUUUGGUUGUUUCUCAUUUGGGGCUCUUGUAAAUAAAGCUGCUAUGAAUAUU